AAGACCUAAAGGGUGACAGAAAUGAGAAAAAGAGGCAGAAGGGAGAGGAGUGUUUAACAAAAAAGAUGAUGACAUCUGUUGUGAACCUCAAAACACAAGAAAGAUGACACCAACUUUCCUAAGACUGCGCCUUGAGGGGAGCACCUGAAGUAAUGCCUGAAACAAAGGAAUGAUUCAGCGUGUGGUGACUGGACUGCAUGGCACUUUCGAACCACUGGACCUGUCCCACAAUGGGGCAGUGAGUUUCCUGUCCCUCUACCUAUAAGGUAUCUAAAAGGUUUGGCCCUGCAUGUGGUAGAGGUGCUUUGAAGGGGGUUUUUUAGGAGACAGUCUAGGAGACGACCCUUAAAUAACCUGCCUGCAAUCUUCUUUAUGCUCAAUUGGUCAAUGAAGUUUUUUUCAGGGACAACAUAAAACAGUAGUUCUGCUAGCAUCACUGACUACACAUUAGAGUCACCUAUGAGCUCUUAAAAUAAACACUAGUGUCCAUGGGCCCUACUCUCAGAAUUUUGAUUUAAUUGAUGUAGGCUGAGACCUAUUCACCUGUUUUUAAUGCUUUCUGAGUAAUCCUAAAGUGCAGUGAAGGUGAACUACCACUAAUGUGAGAAAAAAAAAAUACUGCAAUAUGACUUCACAGCUAGCUCAGAACUAGUUCUCUGCAGAUUUCAUAAUUUAUAAUAAUUCCUGCUGGGAAGCCAGAAGACCCAUUCCUCUACUGUCACCAUAGCCAAAAAGCAUUAUCUUCAAGGCCUGAUUCAUCCUUACCUCCUCCAGGAAGCCUUCCCGGCCUGCUCCAGACUAAUUUUCUGUCCCCUUAUUGUACUUCCUGCCAGUACUUGCAUCCCUGCUUUGACUUAUAUCUCUUUGGCCCAGAAUACCCCCUUAUACCCUUCUCCUUUCCUUCCUGAGCCUCCACCACACUCCAAAUUGAGUACUCUGAACUUAUCCUGUGCAUAUCUACCCACCAAACUCUGUUUUAUAAUUGCCUGCCCAUUUGUAUGUCUCUCAAUGAAACUGCAGGCACCCCGAGAACAAGAACUGUGACAUAUUUACUUUGGCAACCACGGCACUUAGCAUGUGCAAUAGAGUAAGCACAAUUGCAUAGAUGAAUGGAAGGAAGAUGAAUGAAUGGCCAGAUGGAUGAAUGAAGGGGUAGUACUCUUUGUAGGGCUUAACUGCACUGUCUGAAUUGUUUAGUCUCUGCUACAUUUCUCACAUGUCUCUAUUAUCUAACUUGGGAAAGAAUAUUUCCUAGUGAUCACCUUUUCCCAACCAUAAAUUUUAUCUGUCAGUUGACUGACUCACAGCCUGAAAAUAACUUGUUUAUUAGUUUUCUGCAACAAAAGACCCAGUCUUAGCAUCACAUUGUAAGGUUAGAAAAGGUCUUAUCAUGUAAUGAACGCUUACUGGGUGCUGGGGGCUUUAAAUGCAUUAUUUCUUCUCAAUGUCAACUCCUCCUAUUUGUCAGUUGCAGAAUCUGAAACUCAGAGUUUUAAGUAACUUGCUCCAAACCAGCCUCAGCAGUAGUUGAGAUUUAAGCCUAGAUUCUUUCCCACAGAGGCCCAUUUCUUCUCCUGUCUCAGUUUCUGUCCUUCAGGUAGAGACUACAGGAGUGCCGACAUUAAAUACUUCAAUACAAGGUCCAUGAGGACCAAAGCUCCAAGAGGACCCAAACCCGACAGACCUGGAUCUUCACAGUGUUCUGAGGGUCCUGCACAUGUUCCAGGGUUGCAUCAACAUCCAGGGCCACCACUAACCCGGAUGUAAACCGCAAAGGGUUGUCUGACUCGCCUGCUGGCUCGAUGAUGGUGGCUGAGGCUUUGUGGAUCUGUAAGCAAGAAGAAAAUACCAUGAUUCUAAAGUCAGGUCAUUCCUGGAUAAAAAAACACAAUCUUUGAUCUUCUCUCUCCUUAUCUAAUGAGUGGGCAUGUGGGAGCCACUCAGAAAAGAGCCUAACCCAGUUACUCCAUUGGUCAAAGAAGAUCACCAAGGUGAAGAUUUUUGACUGUCUGGACAGAUUUGGCCUAUAGGGGCCAAAUAGACCCUGACCUGCUCUGGAAGUGGGAGAUGCAGGAAGGCACUCUGCCGCAGCGUGGUCUGUAGAAUUUUGACCACUUCUGCAGGUUUGGAUGUCAUGAGUCGGGGCAUAAGGUCAAGAAGUUUGUCCACAAAGCUGUCCUGCAAGUGCGGCAAAUCAGUGAUGAAAUACCU
Long non-coding RNA from Sapajus apella (tufted capuchin), 2211 nucleotides. RefSeq lists it as uncharacterized. The transcript is spliced from 2 exons. Lineage: Eukaryota; Metazoa; Chordata; Mammalia; Primates; Cebidae. The record is from RefSeq and is a predicted model, not a curated record.